GGGUACGAGCGUUGUCCGGAAUUAUUGGGCGUAAAGAGCUCGUAGGUGGUUGGUCACGUCUGCUGUGGAAACGCAACGCUUAACGUUGCGCGUGCAGUGGGUACGGGCUGACUAGAGUGCAGUAGGGGAGUCUGGAAUUCCUGGUGUAGCGGUGAAAUGCGCAGAUAUCAGGAGGAACACCGGUGGCGAAGGCGGGACUCUGGGCUGUAACUGACACUGAGGAGCGAAAGCAUGGGGAGCGAACAGGAUUAGAUA
This 255-nucleotide ribosomal RNA is filed under the name Burkholderia multivorans. Its description in RNAcentral is "partial 16S ribosomal RNA". It matches the Rfam family "Bacterial small subunit ribosomal RNA", at positions 530 to 784 of the family's 1533-position model. The record is from RNAcentral. Lineage: Bacteria; Pseudomonadati; Pseudomonadota; Betaproteobacteria; Burkholderiales; Burkholderiaceae.